GACGAACGCUGGCGGCGUGCUUAACACAUGCAAGUCGAACGGAAAGGCCCUGCUUUUGUGGGGUGCUCGAGUGGCGAACGGGUGAGUAACACGUGAGUAACCUGCCCUUGACUUUGGGAUAACUUCAGGAAACUGGGGCUAAUACCGGAUAGGAGCUCCUGCUGCAUGGUGGGGGUUGGAAAGUUUCGGCGGUUGGGGAUGGACUCGCGGCUUAUCAGCUUGUUGGUGGGGUAGUGGCUUACCCAGGCUUUGACGGGUAGCCGGCCUGAGAGGGUGACCGGCCACAUUGGGACUGAGAUACGGCCCAGACUCCUACGGGAGGCAGCAGGGGGGAAUAUUGCACAAUGGGCGGAAGCCUGAUGCAGCAACGCCGCGUGCGGGAUGACGGCCUUCGGGGUGUAAACCGCUGUCGCCUGUGACGAAGCGUGAGUGACGGUAAUGGGUAAAGAAGCACCGGCUAACUACGUG
Molecule: ribosomal RNA, 468 nt
Filed under: uncultured bacterium
Lineage: Bacteria
Description: partial 16S ribosomal RNA
Rfam family: Bacterial small subunit ribosomal RNA
Source: RNAcentral